Molecule: ribosomal RNA, 595 nt
Filed under: bacterium spbL2type3-1
Lineage: Bacteria
Description: bacterial SSU rRNA
Rfam family: Bacterial small subunit ribosomal RNA
Source: RNAcentral
UGUCUUGCACAUCACCGUAGAGUUUUUUGGGUGGGGAACGGGUUGAGUAGCACGUUGGGGUAACCUGCCCAGAAGAAGGGGAUAACAGUUGGAAACAGGUACUAGUACCGUAUAACAGCAAAGACCGCAUGGUCUUUGUUUAAAAGAUGGUUCUGCUAUCACUUCUGGAUGGACCCGCGGCGUAUUAGCUAGUUGGUGAGGUAAUGGCUCACCAAGGCAAUGAUACGUAGCCGAACUGAGAGGUUGAUCGGCCACAUUGGGACUGAGACACGGCCCAAACUCCUACGGGAGGCAGCAGUAGGGAAUCUUCCACAAUGGACGAAAGUCUGAUGGAGCAACGCCGCGUGAGUGAAGAAGGUUUUCGGAUCGUAAAACUCUGUUGUUAGAGAAGAACGUGUGUGAGAGUAACUGUUCAUGCAGUGACGGUAUCUAACCAGAAAGCCACGGCUAACUACGUGCCAGCAGCCGCGGUAAUACGUAGGUGGCAAGCGUUGUCCGGAUUUAUUGGGCGUAAAGGGAACGCAGGCGGUUUUUUAAGUCUGAUGUGAAAGCCUUCGGCUUAACCGAAGUCAUGCAUUGGAAACUGGAAGACUUG